UGUAUAGUGAUGAAACUCAUGCGUGUCAACUGACUCUGGUUUCCCCUGGUGUUCUGUUGCUCCAGUUGGCGUUUUGCUAGCUGGUGUCCUCGGGACAUUAGGGAUCCAGAGGCAUGAUCAUACAUUGUUUCUGAAUACA
Molecule: small nucleolar RNA, 139 nt
Organism: Sphaeramia orbicularis (orbiculate cardinalfish)
Lineage: Eukaryota; Metazoa; Chordata; Actinopteri; Kurtiformes; Apogonidae
Product: small nucleolar RNA SNORD10
Source: Ensembl